CUACGGGAGGCAGCAGUGAGGAAUAUUGCACAAUGGGGAGAACCCUGAUGCAGCAACGCCGCGUGGAGGAUGACGCAUUUCGGUGUGUAAACUCCUUUUAUAUGUCAAGAAAAUGACGGUAGCAUAUGAAUAAGCACCGGCUAACUCCGUGCCAGCAGCCGCGGUAAUACAGAGGGUGCAAGCGUUACUCGGAAUCACUGGGCGUAAAGGACGCGUAGGCGGGUUGGAAAGUCAGGUGUGAAAUCCUACAGCUUAACUGUAGAACUGCACUUGAAACUUCUAAUCUAGAGUAUGGGAGGGGGGGAUGGAAUUAGUGGUGUAGGGGUAAAAUCCGUAGAUAUCACUAGGAAUACCUAAAGCGAAGGCGAUCUCCUGGAACAUUACUGACGCUAAGGCGUGAAAGCGUGGGGAGCAAACAGGAUUAGAUACCCUGGUAGUC
RNAcentral lists this ribosomal RNA (439 nucleotides) under uncultured bacterium. Its description in RNAcentral is "partial 16S ribosomal RNA". It matches the Rfam family "Bacterial small subunit ribosomal RNA", at positions 339 to 795 of the family's 1533-position model. The record is from RNAcentral.